The submitters of this non-coding RNA (46 nucleotides) gave its source as unclassified sequences. The record is from Rfam.
GCGGACGAAAGUCCGCAGGGAUGUGGCCGCAAGGCUGAACCAUAAA